This 496-nucleotide ribosomal RNA is filed under the name uncultured bacterium. Its description in RNAcentral is "partial 16S ribosomal RNA". It matches the Rfam family "Bacterial small subunit ribosomal RNA", at positions 28 to 507 of the family's 1533-position model. The record is from RNAcentral.
GAUGAACGCUGGCGGCGUGCCUAAUACAUGCAAGUCGAGCGAACAGACGAGGAGCUUGCUCCUCUGACGUUAGCGGCGGACGGGUGAGUAACACGUGGAUAACCUACCUAUAAGACUGGGAUAACUUCGGGAAACCGGAGCUAAUACCGGAUAAUAUAUUGAACCGCAUGGUUCAAUAGUGAAAGACGGUUUUGCUGUCACUUAUAGAUGGAUCCGCGCCGCAUUAGCUAGUUGGUAUGUUAACGGCUUACCAGGGCAACGAUGGGUAGCCGACCUGAGAGGGGGUAGGCCCCACGAGAACGUGGACGCCGUCCCGGCUCCUAAGGGAAGGCGCAGUAGGGAAUCUUUCGCAAAGGGGGGAAAUCUGGCGGAACCAACGCGCGUGGGUUGUGGAAGUGCUCCGGUCGGGAAAACGUUUUAUUAGGGAAGAACAAAUGUGUAAGUAACUAUGCACGUCUUGACGGUACCUAAUCAGAAAGCCACGGCUAACUACGUG